This 428-nucleotide long non-coding RNA is filed under the name Linum usitatissimum (flax). RNAcentral describes it as "long non-coding RNA (LUSI_LNC006738)". Lineage: Eukaryota; Viridiplantae; Streptophyta; Magnoliopsida; Malpighiales; Linaceae. The record is from RNAcentral.
AUUAAUUUCUUUACUCAAUCAUUCCUUUUUCGCGUGGAAACAAUUUUGUGGAGGUGUGAAUGUGACUUUGGGAAAUGGGAAACAAUGAAAUCGAACGAAGCUUUAAACCAAGAACUAAAUUAUUAUUCUCAAAUUUUUUUCUCGAAAUAAAGAAAACCUUUAACGAAGGUUUACAAUUCAGGCGCUAAGAACAACCCGACAAUGAAAGCAAAUAAAUGUUCAAACCAAAAGAAACAUUUGAGACUAAGAAAACAGUAAAAGACCAGUGGACCCCGAACUAGGAACACCCAUCUCCAUCGUUGAUCCGCCGCUGAGAAAAGGAAGCAAAUCUAAAUUUCACCGUCAUAAACCCUAACGUAUAGGGAAAAUCUCUCAAAAGAAGGAAUACUAAAACCUGAACCACGACUUUAACGUCAUUAUCGUUUCUU